RNAcentral lists this unclassified non-coding RNA (2165 nucleotides) under Hevea brasiliensis (rubber tree). Lineage: Eukaryota; Viridiplantae; Streptophyta; Magnoliopsida; Malpighiales; Euphorbiaceae. The record is from RNAcentral.
GCUUCUUCGCAUAGAAAAAAAAAGAAAAAAAAAGCCAAUGGCUUCACCUGCCAAGCAAACACUGCAACUCAAGGAGAUGCAUAAGUUAUUUUUUAGUAGCAUUUUUCUAAAAUGCGGAAUGUAACGACAACCCAACAUCUAGAACAUAACGGCUAUAUCAACAUUACUUCCUAUACAACGGUCCGUUGAUGUAUCUAGUAAAAUAUUAUCAUCGCUAAUCUUAAAACCGUCGAGAAAUUUUAAAUAACUACAUCCAUCAACCGCUAGCAUUUAUCAGGCUCGAACCUAAUAAGAGAAUUGGCGAUAUCGAAACCGACACGUGUUCCUUGCUGCUGUACAUUCCCAACAAUUGACAGCACCGAUGUCGUUGGAGCAAAUGCAAAACAAAAGGUCCCCUCUGAGUCGACAGGUAUCAGGUAGUUCUUUGCUGGCAACGGUAACACAUUGCCGUUCGGGAAAUGAAACGACACCGUUGGGACCUCCACGCUACCAUUUGAGGACAAAUCGUAACACGUGUCAAAUAACGCCACGCCGUUGGUCGACGGCAGGUGCUUCGUGCCAUUAACAAAUGCGUCGCGUAGAGAAUUGUAUGCGUCCGUUUGAAAGCGAGUUAUGGCCGUGCCUGAGUCGAUAAUUAUUCCUCCGUUUCCUGACUCGUCCAUUUUGAAUGCUGAUACAGGAAUCGAGAGCAAUUCGCCACCUACACUCAGUCCUGUUAUCCCGAGGUAAUAAAAUGUUUCGAGCUCGUGGCUACGGAUUAAUGGAGCAGUAAUAGCAUUAGGAAGGAGAGUUGAGUUAAACUCGAGAGUCGAAACCGAGUCGGAGUCGCGAUCCACGAGACAAUAAGAGAAACCCGUUGCAUUAAUCUGAGACGGGAAAGAGAGUAAGCCGCCUCCGAGUGCAAGCACGCCGGCGGCUCCAACAAACAAACCCUCGUUAUUAUGUCCACAGCCAAUCGCUACAUUUUCAACCGAAGCGGAACCAAGGGUGAUGGUUUCAGUGACAAAAUCGCCGACGGUGUAUGAACCGUCUCCGUAUGACACUUCGUAGAGACACGUGCCGUUGCGACACUCAGAUAUGUCGAGGGACUUGCAGUGUUUGGUGUCGCAAGUAAGAGGCGAGUAUGAAGUAGAGGAAGCGGGCUCAAAGAUCGGGUCGGCUUGCUGGUAGCAGUCGGCGCAGGGUGCGCACUGAACCCAGUUAACGUCACUGCCGGUGUCGAGCACCAUAUAAACGGAACUCGGCGGUUUGCCGAUUCCUACUCGGGAGAAAUACUCGCCGCUUCCUUGGCUACUCCCAGAUAUAAUGGGGCUCUGAAGAUCUUCAGCUUUGAACUCCAUAUCACUAUCAAGGGGUUUAAGAUCUGACGUGGAAAUGCCACGAAUGGCCAGAUCUAAACGAAUGGUGAGAGAUCUAACUCGGGCUGAGUCGCGCUCGAGUCGAGCUAAGGUAAGCGAUUUGUAGUCAGUGUGUGAAGUCUUCUGAAUCGAAGUUCUGGAAUGCAACUCCAUUGAUGGCCAUGACGAGGAAGAGGAGGAUGUUUCUUGCUGGUUAAACGUCGUUGUCGUUUUAGAAUGGGCAGAGAAUACGUCUUUGGUCUUUUGAAUGGACGCUUUCACAUCGAGAAUCGCAGUUUUAGAGCUGUGUGGUAAGGUUCGAGAGCAGGCAAACGGAGAAGUGAGAAGAAGCAGGGCAAAGAGAGCACAAAGAAGCCUCAUUUUAGCUAGUAAAGAGACAAGAAAAGGUGGACUAGUGGUAGGAUUUAAAACGGUUGGGGGUGUUGGGUUUUUAUACGAGGGGACUCAGAGGAAAAAAAGAAAGGUAGGCAAACACGCUAGCUUUAAGUGAGGAUGAAAAUCUAAGGGUAGAUAUUUGUUUUCCCUAGGUUGUUAAUGUUAAUCUGAGAGGGUGUUCGGGGAUACACAGCCUUUGCAUGUUCAUUAAUAUUUCCUUAUGGAUCAAUUACAGGGUUUCAUUGCCAUUAGCAUGAUUGCCUUUUUCUUUUGACCAGUAAUGGGCUCAUUGAUUUUGGUCUGCUGGAGUUGGACCCAUCUGAAAGAAUAAAGGGAAAAGGUGGAGUUUGGUGAAAGCAAAGAUAAAUUGGGCCAGCGCUGAGACUGCUGUGGGUCAAAAAGGUCAGAUUUAGGUGUUGAAGCUUGUACUUU